CGCCUAACACAUGCAAGUCGAACGAGCGAGAGAGAGCUUGCUUUCUCAAGCGAGUGGCGAACGGGUGAGUAACGCGUGAGGAACCUGCCUCAAAGAGGGGGACAACAGUUGGAAACGACUGCUAAUACCGCAUAAGCCCACGGCUCGGCAUCGAGCAGAGGGAAAAGGAGCAAUCCGCUUUGAGAUGGCCUCGCGUCCGAUUAGCUAGUUGGUGAGGUAACGGCCCACCAAGGCGACGAUCGGUAGCCGGACUGAGAGGUUGAACGGCCACAUUGGGACUGAGACACGGCCCAGACUCCUACGGGAGGCAGCAGUGGGGAAUAUUGCACAAUGGGGGAAACCCUGAUGCAGCGACGCCGCGUGGAGGAAGAAGGUCUUCGGAUUGUAAACUCCUGUUGUUGAGGAAGAUAAUGACGGUACUCAACAAGGAAGUGACGGCUAACUACGUGCCAGCAGCCGCGGUAAAACGUAGGUCACAAGCGUUGUCCGGAAUUACUGGGUGUAAAGGGAGCGCAGGCGGGAAGACAAGUUGGAAGUGAAAUCCAUGGGCUCAACCCAUGAACUGCUUUCAAAACUGUUUUUCUUGAGUAGUGCAGAGGUAGGCGGAAUUCCCGGUGUAGCGGUGGAAUGCGUAGAUAUCGGGAGGAACACCAGUGGCGAAGGCGGCCUACUGGGCACCAACUGACGCUGAGGCUCGAAAGUGUGGGUAGCAAACAGG
This 718-nucleotide ribosomal RNA is filed under the name uncultured Lachnospiraceae bacterium. RNAcentral's name for it is "bacterial SSU rRNA". It matches the Rfam family "Bacterial small subunit ribosomal RNA", at positions 45 to 776 of the family's 1533-position model. Lineage: Bacteria; Bacillati; Bacillota; Clostridia; Lachnospirales; Lachnospiraceae. The record is from RNAcentral.